This is a long non-coding RNA of Neofelis nebulosa (Clouded leopard), 2272 nucleotides long. RefSeq lists it as uncharacterized. The transcript is spliced from 2 exons. Lineage: Eukaryota; Metazoa; Chordata; Mammalia; Carnivora; Felidae. The record is from RefSeq and is a predicted model, not a curated record.
CCCCCCGCCCCGCCACCCCCCGCUACGGACCGUCUGGGGCCUGGAGUUCGCUGGCCAAUUUGUGAAGAAGGACCACGAGACUUUGCCUCUCCACCGAAAGCUGAUCAUUUUUUGUUUUGGGUCACUUUUCUGAGUUGUACACCUUGGAAACUAACGGGGACGUUUUUUCUAGAGCAGAAAGUAACGUCCGCAUUUCUAGCGCCUACAGGCGGUCAUUUCACAGAAACCAGGAUAUGCUAGGGUUGAGGGAUGGGUCGGUUGCGAGGAAGUGUUUAGUUUCGGGGUAGUAAAACUCAAAGGAAUGGUAACCCCAGUCACCCUGUACAAGAGGAAAGUUUACUUUUUUUUUUUUUAAGUACUCGGUCCAUUCACCCCGCUUUUCCAUCUGCCCCGACGCAAAAGAAUGAAGUCGCAUUUUUUCGAGUCCCCACAGGCAAAUCAGUUUGUAGAGAUUGUACCACAAUGAAAGCGGUCAACCCAGGAAAACCUCCACUUAAGGGACACGAGUAAAUCGGGCAGUUGUGUGUUUGUUUUCUCUGUCGCUCUGCCACUGGACCCGUCCAAAGUCCCAGCGCAGCCCUGUGACGUUAGCACGAAGACAGCCAGGCCCGGCUCCCACAGCUUAGCCGGUGUCCUUCUCCGGAUUUCAGGAGCGAUGAAGCACAGGGGCGGGUCCCCGAGUAAGCAUGCGCGGCGGCGUGGCGGAACGGCGCGCUGGGCGCGCCAGCGCGAUUGGACGGCUGAGACUUACGACAGCCAAUCGGGGAGGAGCAGGUGGAAGAGGCCGCGGGCAGGGGAGACGCUCCCUAAAAGUUUGCUCCGCCCUCUCUGGUUUUCCACCUCUGUGAGUACUCGAGAUAAAGACGCUUCUGUGUGGUUCCAGCCCCAACUGUCAAGUCUCGGGGAGAAACCGAGAACUUAAGCCGUAUCAUCGCGGCUGCCUCAUUUGAAACCAUCAUCACAAAGACAGACUGCGGAACUGUAGCAUACGGUGUUUAGGCCAUACACUUGGCUACAAGUAUAUUUCAGUUUAUUGGCACCAGUCAUCAUAUACAGGAGUCAGGAAAAGAUUUACCAUUCUGAAGGUAAAUAGAUGGCUCAAAUUGCUAAUAUUUUUUAUUGGUUGUUAAAUAGAAUCCACUCUUACCGAUUAUUUACAUUUUGCAAUUAGUUUAACUUGUUAACUAUGAAAAUGAUAUGCUGUCCUAGUAUCAGAAUUACUCACUUCUUAACUGUGAGUCCUUUAUACAUUUGUUUUCAUGGUACAGUGAAUUUACCAUUGCAAAGCACUUACAAUAACUUUAAUAAUAUGCUCCACGGAACACUGUAUUCCCUUACUUUAAGACAUAUUUUAAAGAAUGAGUUGAGGAUAACCACUAGAAAAAUUUGGGACAAUAUUAGCAUCAAAAACAAUGACAAUAAUUUAUUGAAUUAAAAAAAUAAGUAAAGUGCAUGCUUUUAGAGUGGCACUAAAAAUAACAAACAGCAACUGCCUGGCUCGGUUUCAUAUGAAUAUUACAGCAAAAGUCUAUAAUGAUUGGGGGGGGGGGAUUCCACUUUUCUUUAAAAACAUCAUCCUGGGGGUAUCUGGGUGGCUCAGUCGAUUAAGUGUCCAACUCUUGAUUUUGGCUCUGGUCAUGAUCUCACGGUUCAUGAAGUUUAAACCCCAUAUAACAGGCUCUGCACUGACAGUGGGGAGCCUGCUUGGGAUUCCCCCUCUCCCCUCUCUGCUCCUCCUCUGUGCUCUCUCUCACUCUUUAUCUCUCUAAAUAAAUAAAUAAAUUUUUUUUUUGAAAAGGGGGUACCUGGGUGGCUCAGUUGGUUAAACAUCCCACUCUUGAUUUCAGCAAGGGUCAUGAUCUCACUGCUCGUGAGUUCAAGCCCCUAGUAGGGCUCUGUGCUGACAUCACAGAGCCUGCUUGGGAUUGUCUCUCUCCCUCUCUCUCUGCCCCUCCUCUGCUCUCUCUCUCUCUCUCUCUCUCUCUCAAAAAUAAAUAAACUUUAAGGGGAAAAAAGUACAAUUGAGAUGCUUCACACCCACUAGGAUGGCUAUACUUGAAAAGAUGGAUGAUAACAAGUGUUGAUGAGGAUGUGAAGAAAUUGGAAUCUUCAUACAUGGUUGGUAGGAAUGUGAAAUUGUGCAACUAUUUUGGAAACUGUCAGUUUUUAAAAAAGUUAAACAUAGAGUUUCCAUAUGAGUCUGCAUUUCUACUCCUAGGUAUAUAUAUAUAUCCAAGAGAAAUAAAAACUAAUGUCCAUACAAAAACUUGUA